RNAcentral lists this non-coding RNA (181 nucleotides) under Gammaproteobacteria bacterium. RNAcentral's name for it is "6S RNA". It matches the Rfam family "6S / SsrS RNA". Rfam says of the family: E. coli 6S RNA was the first non coding RNA to be sequenced, but its function was unknown until recently. It consists of 184 nucleotides that fold into an extended hairpin structure with a large single-stranded internal bulge. The 6S RNA specifically associates with RNA polymerase holoenzyme containing the sigma70 specificity factor. The record is from RNAcentral. Lineage: Bacteria; Pseudomonadati; Pseudomonadota; Gammaproteobacteria.
CAACCUCUGGAAUGCGCGACCUGUUCCUGAUUGUGCUGACCAACUGAACGAUUUGUUGCCCGGAGUCGGGUAGUGGUGAGCAAGCCCGCCCUUGAGCGGGAAGCCUGAAGCACCCAUCCCGGGUACUAUGGAGAUUCACAGGUCCUCUCUAGGGAGUAUGCGCCGGCAUUCUGGAGGUUGC